Molecule: ribosomal RNA, 118 nt
Filed under: Lepisosteus oculatus (spotted gar)
Lineage: Eukaryota; Metazoa; Chordata; Actinopteri; Semionotiformes; Lepisosteidae
Source: RNAcentral
GCCAGCAGGCAUAUCACUUUGCAACUCACAACUGGCAACCCACUGAAGCUAAGCAGGUGUGAGCCUGGUCAGUACCUGGAUGGGAGACCUCCUGGGAAAAACUAAGUUGCUGCUGGAA